RNAcentral lists this long non-coding RNA (2358 nucleotides) under Homo sapiens (human). RNAcentral's name for it is "HSALNT0057779". Lineage: Eukaryota; Metazoa; Chordata; Mammalia; Primates; Hominidae. The record is from RNAcentral.
UCUCAAACUCCUGGGCCCAAGCAAUCCUCCCACUUUAACCUCCCAAAGUGCUGGAAUUACAGGCAUGGGCCACUGCACCCAGCCAGACAUGUGAUUUUUAAUUUGACUUUUUUCUUCAUAUAUUAUGAAUAUUUUACCUUUCCUUUAUUUUUCAAUCUACAGCAGUUUGAUUUUUGCUAUGACUGCUCCCUUGUCUGCCCUAAUAAAAGAAACAAGUGGUACAAUCAUUGCUAAAUCUAAGGCCACCUCCAGUCUUGUCUUACUUUUAUCUUCCUUGGCCACUUCUUCCAUAAUCAAACAUCCGUCCUUUGACUUUCUCAACAUGCCUUUAUCCUGGUUUUCAUCUAUUUCUAGCUGUUCCUUCUGAUCUCCUCGUUAGUCACUCUCUUCUGAUAACCCUUGAAUAUAGAAGCCAGACCCCUCUCCCUUUCUAUUUUAUUUUACCCACCACCUCUGCAUUUUGAUGCAUAUAUUCAAAUAUUUAGCCCUAUCCGUUCCUGACUUCUGGACCCUUAUGCAACCUGGAUUUCCCACUGACUCGUUAAACUCAACAUGCCCAAAGCAGAAUUUCUUAUCUCUUCUUCCUUCUCAAAUAUGAGGAUCGUCUUUCUUUCAGCUUGGAGGCAGCAAUCGUCACAGUGCCCUCUUGCCUCUUCACCGUAGUAACAUCAAUAACCACAGAGUUGACAUUUAUGGAACUCAAAUGCUAUGUUAAGACUUUACAGACAUUUUUUAAUUUUCUCAAGAAAUCUAUGAGAAAAAGAAGUCAAGACUGAGAGGAGAGAGACUGCUGAACUGGAAUAAACUGCAGAAGCUGGAUUAGAAGACAUUGAGCUGGCCAAAAAUACAAUACAUUUUUAAAUUGCAGCUUUCCAAACUAGCCUUGACAUCUCACCCCAGGCACUGGCAACCUAUCCCAUAGCCAGCUACAGGCAGCCUGCUGGGGAAUUUCAGUGCCACAUCAGCCAUUCACCCGCCCUCGGCAAAGUACGCUCCCUCACCUUCCUACCUCCUUCUUACCGGCCUGGUCCUGCAGGCACCCAGGGGCUGGCACUCCACCAGGCCAUUCCUCCAAACAAAGUCGGCCUUUCAUCAAUGGUCCCAAGUGCAAGAUUCCCCUUCCUACACACUCUAGGCAUCAACACAUCUUCAUGCCUUAUCCGAUCUUGGUUAUCAAACUCUAGAUGAGAAAAAUGAAACCCAGUUUAUUUAUACCUUAGAAAAGAGUUUGUUAACCAAAACACAUUUCUCAGAAGUGGAGUAUGACUUAUUAGACUUUAUAUUAUUCCGUGUUAAUUUUUCUCCAUCUAAUCAUCAAAAGUGAAAUACAGGACAUCCACAUGACUCAUUUGAACACAGCUGCACCCCUGUGUUAGCAAGUGACUUGUACCAGUGCCAUUGGGCUCAGUCAAAACAAAGAAUCAUCACUUAGAGGAGGUGAGGUUUGACCAACAAAUUCUUUAGACCCUGGUAGUCAGUGCAAGAGCUUCUGAAUGAUAACAAUGAUAAAAGUAAUAGCAGCAGCUAAUAUAUACACAAUUAAACAAUGCACAUUACAUGGAUUAUCUCAUUUCAUACAUGCAACAAUCUUUUACAAUUAUAGCAGUUCCACAAAGUAGGGAAUUUCUGUUUUAACUAGUCCUUCAAGAGGCAAUUACUUUUCUCUAGUGUUCUGCUCUUAGGACUGGAAGGAUGAGACUUUGCGACCAGAAAGACUCAUCAUUAGAGUGGGCAGCUCCUUCCUUCCUCAUGCCACACCCACAGGCAGCUGCCUUCCCUUUCCUGCAGCAAACAGGUCCCAUCAUAUCCCACAGAUGCAACCAAAUGAUUUCGUAUUGCUUUCAGCAAUUACAUGAAGAGGCAUAUGACUAAAUCAGCCUAUUAUCCUCAUUUCUCAACAGCCCUCACAAUAUUGCAUUUAUAGAAUUUUGGUGUUGUGGCCUUCAAAACACAUUGGUAUUGUGACCUUACUAGAAUAAUCCUUUAGAGUCACAGACAUUUAUUAAAACAAAGACCAUGUUUUCUGGUAAUAAAAGCUAAGGGAGGGUAUGAGAAUUUAUUCUCCAGGUUAACAAGGACAAGAUAACCCUCAGCAUGCAUCUGCAAGUAGAAUGCUGUGUGAAACACUCCCUUAUCAAACUCUUUCCUGAAUAGCAACCCUCAAGGCAGCCUGAAAUGUCUUAUUAUUUUUAUGCUUCUGCAUGUGCACCUGUAUUACCAAUAAUACCCUGUCAAUGCAUUGAGUUUGUUUGCUGUUUAUUUCCUAACAAGAAACUGUUCAUGGUAUGGAGUAGAGAAGGAGUAUUUUCAUGGGAUAGGCAUUUUGGAGAAGAAAAAAAGCAAAUGAGAGAAGUGGGA